This 304-nucleotide ribosomal RNA is filed under the name uncultured bacterium. Its description in RNAcentral is "partial 16S ribosomal RNA". It matches the Rfam family "Bacterial small subunit ribosomal RNA", at positions 506 to 807 of the family's 1533-position model. The record is from RNAcentral.
CAGCAGCAGCCGCGGGAAUACAGAGGGUGCAAGCGUUAAUCGGAAUUACUGGGCGUAAAGCGCGCGUAGGUGGUUUGUUAAGUCGGAUGUGAAAUCCCCGGGCUCAACCUGGGAACUGCAUCCGAAACUGGCAAGCUAGAGUAUGGUAGAGGGUAGUGGAAUUUCCUGUGUAGCGGUGAAAUGCGUAGAUAUAGGAAGGAACACCAGUGGCGAAGGCGACUACCUGGACUGAUACUGACACUGAGGUGCGAAAGCGUGGGGAGCAAACAGGAUUAGAGACCCCCGUAGUCCCUGUCUCUUAUAC